RNAcentral lists this non-coding RNA (97 nucleotides) under uncultured Ruminococcus sp. RNAcentral's name for it is "THF riboswitch". It matches the Rfam family "THF (Tetrahydrofolate) riboswitch aptamer". Rfam says of the family: THF riboswitch presents a pseudoknot that joins P1-P2 and the loop of P3 and two THF binding. Lineage: Bacteria; Bacillati; Bacillota; Clostridia; Eubacteriales; Oscillospiraceae. The record is from RNAcentral.
CAGAGUAGAAAGCCGUGCGUUAAGUGCUGUCGGAACGGGGAGUUGUCGGACAGACGAAGGCAUGAAAAAGCUGCGGUACGGCUUUCGCAUCCCGCUG